CAAUAGCGUAUAUUUAAGUUGUUGCAGUUAAAAAGCUCGUAGUUGGAUUUCGGAUGGGACUUGCCGGUCCGUCGUUUCGAUGUGCACUGGCCAGUCCUAUCUUGUUGUCGGGGACUAGCUCCUGGGCUUCACUGUCCGGGACUAGGAGCUGACGAGGUUACUUUGAGUAAAUUAGAGUGUUCAAAGCAAGCCUACGCUCUGAAUACAUUAGCAUGGAAUAACACGAUAGGACUCUGGCUUAUCUUGUUGGUCUGUGAGACCAGAGUAAUGAUUAAGGGGGACAGUCGGGGGCAUUCGUAUUUCAUUGUCAGAGGUGAAAUUCUUGGAUUUAUGAAAGACGAACUUCUGCGAAAGCAUUUGUCAAGGAUGUUUUCAUUA
This 378-nucleotide ribosomal RNA is filed under the name uncultured eukaryote. RNAcentral's name for it is "partial 18S ribosomal RNA". It matches the Rfam family "Eukaryotic small subunit ribosomal RNA", at positions 592 to 975 of the family's 1831-position model. The record is from RNAcentral.